CAGGAAUUGCAGCUUUGGGAAGGGCAGGACCAGCCCCCUGAGCCCCCCCAAGGCAGGCGAGGCUGGGGAAGCUGCCUGGAAAUGCCCCAGGGAGUUCCUGCCAGGGAUGGGAACAGAACAUCCCGAGCCUCAGACUUGUGCUUCAACAUCAGAAGGAAAUGCUUCAUUUGUGAGCUUCACACCGAACUGGGAUUGCAAAGCUGCACGUGGAUAUUUGCUUUACCACAAAAACCACCACAAAAUCAAGGCAAUGCAUCCUGGAUGUCUGAGCUGCUUUCUGAAAGGUUCGAGAGAAAUGAGCUGUGUGAUUUCAUUGCUAGAAAAGUCUUUUGAUAGAGUUUGCUAAUCAGAGAUGGACUCGGG
Cyanistes caeruleus (blue tit) is the source of this 363-nucleotide long non-coding RNA. The record is from Ensembl. Lineage: Eukaryota; Metazoa; Chordata; Aves; Passeriformes; Paridae.